Phascolarctos cinereus (koala) is the source of this 2569-nucleotide long non-coding RNA. The record is from Ensembl. NCBI's taxonomy places the organism in Eukaryota, Metazoa, Chordata, Mammalia, Diprotodontia, Phascolarctidae.
CCCAAAAAUGUAGCAAUAAAAACCUAUCUGUAAGGAAAAACCAUGUCCUAAAUCUGGGAAGGAUUAGGACAUUUAAAUUCAUGAUUUUGGCUUUGGAAACAUGGAGUUGCCAAUAAUGUAGUCUCAUUUCUCUCUCUCUUUUUUUUCUUUUGGCUAGGCAAUGGGGUUAAGUGACUUGCCCAAGGUCACACAGCUAGUAAGUUAUGUUUCUGAGGCCACAUUUGAACUCAGGUCCUCCUGACUCCAGGGCUGGUGCUCUAUCUACUGCGCCACCAGCUGCCCCUGUAGUCUCAUUUAUGUAAACUGAUUUGUGAUCAAGGUCUUCCAUUGCCCCCUGUGCUCUCCCCAUUUUCCUCUCAGUCUCUCAAUCCUUUUUCUUCUCCUAAGGAUUCUUAAGCAAGCUAGGUGGUGCAAUGGAUAGAGCGCUGGGCCUGGAAUCAGGAAGACUCAUCUUUCCGAGUUCAAAUCUAGCCUCAGACACGUACUAGCUGUGUGACCCUGGGCAAGUCACUUAACUCUCUUCACCUCAGUUUCUUCAUCUGUAAAAUGAGCUGAAGAGGAAAUGGCAAACCACUCCUGCACCUCUGCCAAGAAAACCCCAAAUAGGGUCACAAAGGUCAGGUCAUAUACAACUGAAAAAUGACUAAACAAUAACAAAAAAAGAUUCUUAAAAAUCUUCAUAAAAUUAGUUUGUCUGGAAGGAGUGAGCUGGCAUGGUACAGUGGAAAGACUAUAAGUUCUGGAGUCAGAGGACCUGGGUUCAAAUCCACCCUCUGAUGGUUAUUACCUAUGUAGUCAUGGGCAAAUGACUUACUCACUGUAUCUCUGUUUCUUAAUCUGAAAAACAGGAGUUGGAGAAGAUGGCUUCUGAAAUUCUUUCCAGCUCUAAGAUCUGUGAAGCUGUGACAAAGUCUAAAGGAGACGGCAGACAGGAGGAAGCCCGUGAACACUGGACCAAUCAGGCCUGAAUGCAUGAAUCAAUCUUGGUGUUCCUAGGAGAGGGAGGACCACCAAAAUACAGCUCAGGGAUCCAGUUAGGAUAUCCUGGCCCCAACUGGGACAGAAUGUUUCAGGUGAAACUCAAACCUCUGGCUGGUUCCUCUGCCCUGGAUGAAGUAGCCGUAAGGUCUCCUGGGUUGUCAUAUCUGAGCAUUCCUGACAGCUGAACAGAGUGUCUUGAGAAACUCAGCGCCGACAAGAUAUUUGACUCAAAUCAAAUCCUACUUCCUCCACGAAGUCCAUCUAUCUUACUCCUCCUACCCCACCGUCGAAGUCAAUUAGACUUUGAAGCUUUUCGAAAGUAGGGGUUAUGUCUUAAUAUUAUCUUUGUAUGCUUCAUACAUAUGGUACAGCACAGAGCACACAGCAGAUAAUUUGUGAAAAGAAUUGCCCUUUUGUUAACUGUUUCGCUGCUGAGAGAGAAAAGGAAUAUUUGUGGAAGGAAACUUGACAAAAUCCACUUGUGAGAGACAUAGACAGUCUUGACUACUGGGUAGGGAACAGCACCUCUGAUGGAUGUACUGAGAGGACCUGUUUGGAGACAGUGACCGAGCUGUUGAUAACUGCAGGACAUUUCAGUCCAUCUGUUCAUUUGCAUGGGACUUUUUUUUUUAAGCUUCCAAGUUUACAACUCAUAUAAUUAUUAGUCAAAUAAUUGUUUUGGGGCCAUGGAAAGAUUACAUAAGGACUGUGGCAUUCAUUCCUGACAGAAAGAUGAAUUUCUUGAAUUGUGCCUCAUAAGGUAAAGAUCCUCCCCUCCACCUCACCACCCCACAGGCUCUGAUUUGAAGCUGGUUAAACAACCAACAGGAGAGGGAGCUUCUUCAAAAGACUGGAAGAGUAGUUGGGAGGCCAGCAGAAGGAGAAGUUUUGAGAAAAAGUUAUAGGAUUAAACAGAUGGAAUAAGGAACUCAGCUGUGCAGAAGAGGAAUCACAGGAGGCUAUUAGCAACUAGCAGACCCUUUAGCUCAAGGUUUUUAACCUCAGGUCUGAGGUGUUUUUUUUUAAAUCACAUUUCAAUAACUGUAUUUCAAACUAAUUUUCUUUGUAUCCUUUUAUUUUAUUUUAUGAAUUUAAAAAUGUUAUGAAGAGGGGUUCAUAGGUUUCACCACACUAUUAAAGGGGUCCAGAGAACAAAAAGUUGAGAAUCCAUGGUUUAUCAGCUAUGCUGGGAACCUUGUGAUUGGAAAAGAGUCAUGGCUUUGCUGAUUGGCUGGAGCAGCUGCUGAAAGCUCAUUGGUUAAGAGUUGAAUCCUACUGCUUAUUUGGGGAGCUAUCGAGCUGAUUGCUCUCUGGGGCCAUCUCCAGCACGAAAAAUGGGAAACUUCUUGGCAGUUGCCUCUGUUGCCCUCAGGGAGGGAAAACAACCAGGUGAGAAAGAGUCUUUGCAUAGUUUUGCUAAGAUCUGAGUUUUAAAAAGAGGCUGAGGGAGGCCUUGGAGUCAGGAGGAAAUGAGUUCAAAUUCGGCCUCAGACACAUAAAACUUACUAGCUGUGUGAUCCUGGGCAAGUCACUUAACCCCAUUGCCUAACCAAAUAAAUAAAUAAAUAAAUAAAAAUAAGAGGAUGAG